Long non-coding RNA from Etheostoma cragini (Arkansas darter), 67 nucleotides. RefSeq lists it as uncharacterized. Lineage: Eukaryota; Metazoa; Chordata; Actinopteri; Perciformes; Percidae. The record is from RefSeq and is a predicted model, not a curated record. The transcript is spliced from 3 exons.
ACACACCACCUACAGUCGGCACGUUUUUUCAGCAAACCCAAACAAAGACACUGAUUGGCUGAUCCCU